Molecule: long non-coding RNA, 10340 nt
Organism: Peromyscus californicus insignis
Lineage: Eukaryota; Metazoa; Chordata; Mammalia; Rodentia; Cricetidae
Exons: 2
Source: RefSeq, a predicted model, not a curated record
UUCUCCUCACCUGGGUGCACAUUCUACCUUAGGGCGCUUUCUGCAGUCCUCACAUCUGCGCAGAGCCUGACUGCUGUUUCUAAAUUGUUCCCACCCCAUCGGGGGAAGGGGGAGAGGAAAUGAGAAGCAGCUAGCAAUCCCAAACUUCUCUAACUCCCUGUUUGAGUAAGAAUUCCAUUGUGCAAAAUCUGCUUAUCCUGACUGGCUCCCUAGUAAACCACAGUGAUGGCCACCUGCCUGGGCUCUCUCUACAAACAGUAGGUACAAAAAGCAUAACUUCACCUGGGUAGAAAGGGCUACUUAGUGGCCAGACAUUAAGGCACAGAUACCAAAUAUGUGUGGCCUUGUCUGCCUUCUUUGGCACCAAACCCUUUCCACUCUCCUACUGAACUUAAUUCAUGCAAAAUACACACAUACCACAAAGCUAAAUCAAACAUACAAUACGUAAAAGUAUAUUAAUCUGAAUUUUAACACAGAUGUCAGUGUGUUUAGUCUCCCAAAGCUGGAAGGAAACUCCAAAGAGAAGGCUUUGCUCCCUCAGAAGAAACAGAAAAACUGAUGUGCCAUGACAGCUCCUUUUUAAAAACCCACUUGAAGAUGAUACAGUUGCAACUAUAUCCACAGCCAUUCCCUCAUGUGUCACCUCACAAGAAUUAUAAUUUGCUCUAGCAAACAGGCUCUCAAUCAAAACAAGUUCCACCCACCUUCAAAGCAACCAAUAGCUGCCCACCUACCACCCUUCCUAAAACAGCCAAACAGAUCAGCUCUGUGGCCCGGCAAUCCCUACAAGGCACUGGGCAAUGAGGCAGCCUGCAGGUUUGCUCUGCAGGUUUUGAAGACAGACAAACUCUACCAAAUGCACCGGGCAAACUCAGGCUAAAAUCACCGAAGAGAACAGGAGGUGAGGGAAUGGGGAAGAGGACACAGACAGACUCACAAAGCUUCACAGUCUACAUUUGCUUAAUUCAUCUCUGGGUAGACCCCACGCACAGCUCUCAUUUUAUGCUUCUCAAUGCCACCUCUGCGUGGCCAGCUGGCUGAAUCAAAGGCUCUGGAACAUGCACUGUGAAUGGCGCGAUGAUUCAUAAACAUCUUUAGAAGGAGCUCAAGCAGCAAAGCCAGUGUCUCCGCGAGGCCAGGGGAAGAUCGCCUACCUGCAGGGGCUGAAUGGAUCAUCCAUGACUAAGAGAGGCUCUGAUUCCCUGGAUGACACCAAUGGCCGAAAUCCAGAGCAAGCCUGAAGUCCUCACUCUUAAUAAGUGAGGAGGAGAGCCUUCCCACCUGUGUCUGUUCUCCAACGAUGGCAGAAUUCACCUGCAAAGCACAGACCUGACAUUCUGUUGUUGGCUACUGGGGAGGAAGAAAAGGCAGCUGUGCCAGCUCUCCACCAAAGGGAGAAGGCGUGCAGUCCUACCUACUUCCUCUUUUGCCCAGGUCUAGAAGUGGCUACCAUUACACUCUUCAUUUGAAAAUCCAGACAACAGUCGAAACUGGGGCUCUCAGAGAGCUGGGUCCCUGUGACAGCCUAGAAGUGAUUCCUGACACACUUGUUUACACUAGUAUCUGAUGUUGGCCUCAUCAUUUGCUGUUCCUUUUACUGACUAUAGUUAGUUGGUGGUGAAUGACUUUUCUUUUAAUGUUCGUCAUUUCUAAGUGUAAGCUCAACAUUCUCAGUUUAUCUGUGGCCAUCCUGCACAAUCUUGCACAAGGGUAUAUGCUGUGGGAUGGUCUGUAUGUCAAAUGUGUUGCUCUGAUUGGUCAAUAAAUAAAACACUGAUUGGCCGGUAGCCAGGCAGGAAGUAUAGGCGGGAUGAACAGAGAGGAGAAUUGAGAAAACAGGAAGGUAGAGGGAGACACUGCCAGCCACCGCCAUGACAAACAGCAAGUGAAGAUGCCGGUAAGCCACAAGCCAUGUGGCAAGGUAUAGAUUUAUAGAAAUGGGUUAAUUUAAGAUAUAAGAACAGUUAACAAAAAGCCUAAGUCAUUAGGCCAAACAGUUUAAAUAAUAUAAGCGUCUAUGUGUUUAUUUUAUAAGUGGGCUGUCGGACAGCCGGGGCUUGGCGAGAAAACUCUCCAGCUACAAGUGGCGCCCAACGUGGGACACAAACCCUCGACCCUGAGAUUAAGAGUCUCAUGCUCUACCGACUGAGCUAGGUUCUGAAAAAUCCAUUAAUACCAACAGGUAUAUCCUUCCAAAAACUUCUUAAAUACUUUUCUAUCAUGGGGCUUCACCAGUAUGAGUGUACUUUUUAUUAUCUCCUCCUUGAGUCCUCAGACUUUCUGGGUCACACACAGGCUUCCUAGAGACCAACAACAAACCUGACCUAAGGCUCACACUAGACUUAUUUAAUAUUUUAUUCAAUAUCUGAGGAUGUUUUCAGGAAAAAAGUUACUGUAAUAAUCAGAUCUGGGCUUUUAUCCUAUUGUGCUGAAGGCCUUUUAGCACAAGGAAAACUUUCAGACAUGAGAGCAACCAAGAAAAUGCUUAUGCAGCUCUAGUGGCUCAUCCCCAAAGUUGCACAAAGAUCUUUCAGGAGAUUAAAGAAUGUGUAGGAAAAAAAAAAAAGAAUGUAGCACCUUGUCAAUGAAAAUAUAUAACUACUCCUAUAAUUAGCAAGAAGUUACAAAAAUUCCAAAACCUUACACAAGUCACCUGCAGGGUUAACUAUGACCACCUUCACAUGAUGGAUGCAGAACAGAUUCCAGGAAAUGAAUACCUCACUGACAGACAUAAAGAUAAAGUGGCCGCAUGAGACUAGAGCCUAGGCAUGCCAGAUUCAAAAGGAAACAGUCUUUCCCAGGGCUGAUCUUAACUCAAAAGAUGAAGCAGUCAAUUAAAUGGAUAUGAGGUACUAGGUGAAGCAAGUAAGGCCAGUGAAAAGAGACAAAGAACCAUGGUUAAGACCAAUCUAUUGCAAGCUCAACCAAAGACUCUGGGGUUUUGGCUGACUGUACAGCAGGUCUAACUGGUUCUGUUUACCAAGAUCUUCUUUCCUUUUUUGGGGGUGGGGAUUUUGAGAUAGGGUUUCUCUGUGUAACUACCCUGGCUGUCCUGGAACUUACUCUGUAGACCAGGCUGGCCUUGAACUCACAGAGAUCCACUUGUCUGCCUCCCAAUUGCUGGGAUUAAAGGAGUGAGCCAUCACUGCCUAGCCUGAAAUUUAUUUUGUAAGUAGUCAGUAGAGUUUGAAUUAGAUUCUUCAUAUAAAAGGAAAGCACAAUAACACUAUUUUGCAGAGAGCAAUCACCCACAGAAGUAAACGUGGGAUGAAUCUUGUUCACAUAAGACCAGUGAAUUUUCCCUGAGUAUGUGGAUGUCAGAAACAGACUCUGAAAUCAGAGCUGAAUACUGAGGGUUCGAGGUUAGGCUGCUGGAAAGCUCUCACAUGUCACUCACCCUUCACACUUUAUUUGAGCAGAAAGUUUAGCUCCUUAAAUGACAAGGGAAAAUGGAUGGGGUCACAUUCCCUUAUCUAAAUUUGAGACCCUUAGGGUCAGAGGUUUUUCAGGGUUAGGAACUUUCAAUCAUAAUGACCACAUGAUAUAGUAUAUAGCAUCCCAGGAGCACCUAAGCUAUAACUACAUUUUUUUUUAAUAAAAUGGGCAAAUUUACACAAAGUACACUAAAUUACAAGUAUAGUCUCAGAUCAGUGUAAGUGAGGUGUGGUCACAAAAUGAAUUCUGGUGUCACUGAACAUAAACUGUUAGGUUUUCAGAUCUUUUGCAUUUUAGAGUUGAAAAGAUCACAGAUCCAAUUAUUGUAGAUGGUUUUGUAACAAUUAGUAUUCUUGAUUUAAAAAGCAAACAAAAGAAAAUAUAUGGUAUUUUCUUUCCAAAACACCAGUCUUUGGUUGAGCUGCAAUAGAUUGGUCCUAUAAAUGAAAUUCACAUUAGGUAAAGCUAGAUUCCAUGUAUGAGAGAAAAUACACAUUAUAUAACUCCUCCCCCACAUGGCCACCCACCUACUUUCGUGUCCUAUAUAUAUAUAUAUUUGGAAAGACUUAAAUUCUGCAUAUGAGAAAAUGAGGGUGUUUGCCUUUCCUUUGUCUCCAUGACACUGUUGUUUCCCAUUAUCCCCUCCACUUUCCUAACUCUCACUCUCCCCUCACUCACAUCUCAUCAAAGAAAACAUAAGAUGUAGAGUCAGCAAAGGGCUUUCUCCCACUUAGUAGACUCUGUUUCCUUCGCUUACAGAAGGAUUUUACUUCAUGUAACAUCACUGGUCAAUUCUUACUAUUAUUUAGUAAGCUAGUAGAGUCUUCUUCAGUUUCAGGUCUUAUAGAGAACUGUGUCUAUGUUCUGGCAUCUUUUUUGAAAACCUGGUGGCUGUAGCUGGACUCUGUGCCAGGACCACCCUGUUGAUGUUCCUAUAGCUAGCUCUGUGGUAUACUUCCAGUCAGGUAUCACAAACCUCCCCAAGCUGCUCUUUCUGCUUAGAGUUGCUUUAGUUACUUACAACACUUGGUGCUUCCACCUAAGUUUUAAGAUUACCUUUAGUUCUAUAAAGAACAUCAAUGGAAAGUGAUGAGGAUGACACUAGUUCCAGACUGCUUUAGGAAUAAGCUAUUUACACAGUAUUAAUUUUGCAAUCUUAUAAGCAUGGGAGGUCUUUUCUUCUAAGUGUCUUUAGAGUAGAGGGCUUUAAAAAUUGUAUUAUUUUCUGCAUAUUUAUUUUAAUUUACAUGUGUUUAUAUGUACACUUGGGUGUCCAUGGAGACCAGACAAGGAUGUCAGAUCUCCAGGAGCUAGAGUUACAGGUGGUUAUAAGCCAUCUGAUGUAGGUGCUGGGAACUGAACCCAGGUCCUCUGGAAGAGCUUUAUGUGUUCUUAUAAGAGGCAUUACUCCAGCCCCAGUGCAGUGUUUUUAAAUUUUCCAUUAUAAAAGUCUUCCUUCUUUGAUUAGGUUUAUUCCUGGUAUGCAGGGGAAGGGGUAAAUCUGUGGCACUAGGGACUGAACACACAGCCUGCAUGUGCUAGUUCAGUACCCAGCCCCACCCCCCUGUUUUUUGGCUUUUCAAGACAGGGCUUCUCUGUGUAACAGGUCUGGCUGGCCUCAAACUCACAGAGAUCCAUCUGCUUCUGCCACUGUUGGGAUGAGUGCUGGGAUUAAAGGCAUAUGUCACCAUCUACCAGUCCAGCCCAGUUUUUCUUUAAAGCUACUGUGAAUGCAAUUUUUUUUCUUGAGUCCCCUUCUUGGUAAAUUCAUUAUUGGUAUAAGAAAAAACUAGCCAAAUUUUUUUUUGCAGUUUUUUUUUUAAUGUGUAUGAGUUUGCCUGCAUGUAUGUCUAUGCACCACAUGCUAGCCUAGUGUCCAUGGAGGAGGAGGGUGUCAGAUCCCCUGGAACUGACGUAACAGAUGGUCAUGAGCAACAAUGUGGAUUCUGGGAACCAAACCUGAGACCUCUGUAAGAACAGCAAGGGCUUUUAACAGUUGAGCCAGCCCCUACUUAAACUGUUUUUAUCUUCAUUUUAGAUGGCCCUAUAAGGAAUCAAUUUUUUUUUUUUUAAUUUUAUUUAUUAUGUAUACAGUGUUCUGCCUACACAUAUGCCUAUAGGCCAGAAGAGGGCACCAGAUCUCAUUAGAGAUGGUUGUGAUCCACCAUGUGGUUGCUGGGAAUUGAACUCAGGACCUCUGGAAGAGCAGCCAGUACUCUUAACCUCUGAGCCAUCUCUCCAGCCCAGGAAUCAAUUUUUACUACCUUUAUGAGGGUCUGUUUUCUCUAGCAAAAUGAAAUUUGAGCUUUUCAUUUUCAAACAUAGGCCAUGCAUGUACUAAGAACGUAUUUGAUAGUAACAUUGCAAGUCACUGUCCCUCUCUCUCACUCUUGGGCCUUAUGCAUGUUUUGCAAGCAUUCUACCACUGAGCUACAUUCCAAACCCUUUCUACUUUUAAUUUGGAGGGAAGGUCUUAUCAAGUUGCCCAGGCUGGUUCUAAAUUUACUCUGUAGCAAAGGUAGAUAUUGAACUUGUGAUCCUCUUGCCUCAACCUCCCAAGUAGCUUCGAUUACAAGCCUGAGCCACCAGAUCGGGCAGUCUCUUAUAUUAUGAAAUGUUAGUUUUAAAUAUGUACAAUAUCAUGUCUUUUAUUACCCAAGGAAAGUAUGAGUGAACUCAAACUAGCAUUCCUGUGUUAGGCAAACUGAAUGCUGUUUUAGUGAGAUCAUAUUUAUUUAUCCAUUUUUUCCUAAUAUUUCCAGCUUCUGAAAUACAGCUUAUUCAACAUAUUCCCUCAUAAUUCUCAGGACUUCAUUAUUACCUGAAGUAAUGUUCCAAUUUUCAUCUCUAAUGUAUUAAUCCAAGUUGUUGCUUCUUGUCAAUUUAAAUUUUCAAAGAACCAGCUCGUUGACUUAUUGUACUGUUUUUAAGGCUCUGCUUCAUUAAUUUCUUUCUGGAUCCUAAUUAUUUCUAUCUACUGGUUUUUGGUUGGUUAGGCUUGUUCUUGUUUUUCUAUGACCUUGAAGUGCAUCAUUAAACCUAAUGUUAAUGUCGAUAUCUCUGUGGUUUUUAAAGCAAGAAUAGUUUAUUGAGUAAUUUUGCAAGAGGGCAGUGUCUAGAAUGCUGCAUGUAACAUACAGCUGUCUCUUGAUAUUUAAUGUAAGCCUUCAUAGCAGUACAUGUCUUUGUAGAACUGCCUUCAUGGCAUCCCAGAGGUUCAGUUAAGUAGUGUUUUCAUUUUCAUGUGCUUUUAAGAAUUUUUAAAUUCCAGCUCUAAUUUCUUCAAUGACCCACUGUUCAUUCAUGAGUAUGUGUAUAGAGUGUGUGUGUGUGUGUGUGUGUGUGUGUGUGUGUGUGUGUGUGUGUGUGUGUGUGUGUUUUCAUUCACAUGUGUGCACAAGCCAGAAGACACCAACUCUGUUUCUUUUGAAGGGUCUAUGUAGUCCUGGCUGUCCUGGAACUCUCUCUGUAGACCACGCUAACCUCGAACUCAGAGAUCUGCCUGUUUCUGCCUCCUGAGUGCUGGGAUUAAAUGUUGUAUGCUACCACCUCCUGACCAAGAAGGUCUUUUUAUUGACCUGGAACUUGCCAACUAGACUAGACUGGCUGACCAUCAAGCUCCAGUUUCUGCCUCCCUGAUGCUAGGAUUGUAAGGGAAAGCACCACAAUGCAUGCUUUUAUUUACAUGGGUUCUGCAGACUGAAUUUGGAUCCUCAUGUGUGCCAAGCAAGCGUUUUCCUGGCUGAGCUAUCUCCUGAGCCCAUAGUUUCUGUAAUUUCUUUUGCUAUUGGUUUUGAACCUUAAUCUGCUAUGAGUUAAUAAAAUCUAAAAUAUCAUUUUAAUGGUUUUUCUUUGUUAGGAUUUGAAAAAUACAUUUUUAAGAUUUACUUAUUUUAUUUUAUACAUAUGAGUGUUCAGUCUGGAUGUAUGUACAUAUACCAUAUGCAUGCCUGGAACAGGCCCAAGAUCCUGGGAAUGGUGCAAUCUCCUAAACUGGAGCCGCAACAGUUGGGAGCCAUCAUGUGGAUCCUGGGAAUCAAAUACAGAUCCUCUGUGAGAGCAACAAGUGCUCUACGCUGCCAAACCAUCUCUCCAGCCCCUGUAAGGAUUUCUGUAAUGACCUAAAAUGUAUUUGUUUAUGGAAAGAUUGUGUGUUUUGCAGUUGUUUUCUAGGCAUCUGUUAAAUCCCUUUGCUCUGCAGUGUGGUUCUAACCCUGAAGUUUCUUUGUUGAUUUGUGGAGUUGGAACAGGAGAUGUGGAUGACCAUAUUCAUUGAUGACAAUGAGCUACUAAAAAUCACCCAUUAUCAUUUUUAUUUCUACCUAUCUGGACCUUUCUGUGAAGCAGUAUUUGUUUUAGCCUCAAUGUUCAGUGCACAUCUAUUUGCAACUGUUAUAAUCUCCUAAUGGAGCCUGGUGCCUUUAAUCCUGGUACUCAGGAGGCAGAAGCAGGUAGGUCUCUAUGAGUUUCAGGCCAGCUAGGUCUACGUAGUGAGACCCUGUGGGGUGUGUGUGUGUGUGUCUGUGUGUGUGUGUGACUGAAAACAACAAAAAUCUCCAAAUAAACUGUUCCCUUUGCUGCUGCACAGUGACCUUCAUCUCUUCUAAGGCUUGGCAUCAUUUUAGCACAUGGAACCAGGGCUCUCCCUGCUUGUUUUCAGUGUCCAGGUGAUUGGCAUGCUAACAGGUGUUCUGGUUUCAUUUUUGUUGUGAUAAAACAUUCUGACAAAAAGCAGCAUAGGGAAAGAAAGGUUUGUUUUAGCCUACAACUCUAGAUCAUCACUGAAGGAACUUCAAGGCAACCCUGCUUGCCAUUCCACACAAGCAGCAAAUCUAACCAAGAAACUCACUUCAUAGCCAAAGAAGGACAGCAGUAACCAUGAAGACAUACCUAAUUAGCUUUCUUUACUUUUCUUUUUUUGAUUUUUCAAGACAAGGUUUCUCUUUGCAGCCUGGCUGUCCUGGAACUUGCUCUAUAAAUCAGGCUGGUCUCAAACUCAGAGAUCCACCUGCCUCUGCCUCCCGAGUACUAGGAUUAAAGGUCUGUGCCACCACCACCUGGCUUUUCUUUUUUCUCUCUGUCUUCUAAAAAAUUUAUUUAGGUUUUUAAAUUAAUUUUAUUUAUGUGUACUUGUGUUUGCCUACAUUAGUUUAUGAGUAGCAUGUGUGUGCAGAAACCUACAGAGGCUAGAAAAGGGUAUGAGAUUCUUUUUCUGUAACUGAAGUUAUAGGUAGUUCUGAGUCACCAUGUGAGUGCUGGGAACCGAACUUGGGUCCUCUGUAAGCAUAGCAAGCACUCUUGACUGUUGAGCCAUCUCUCCAUUCCCUUAGCUAGUUUUUCUUUCUUUCUUUGUUUUUCCACAAGACAGGGUUUCUCUGUGUAACAGGCCUGGCUGUCCUGGAACUCACUCUGUAGAUCAGGUUGGCCUCAAACUCAAGAGAUCCGCCUGCCUCUUCUUCUUGAGUACUGAGACUAAAGGUGACCAACACCACCAUCCAGCUUAUCUAGCUUGCUUGCUUUCUUCCUUUCUUUCUUUAAAAAAAAAAGAUUUAUUUAUCAUGUAUAGUGUUCUGCAUGCAUGUAUGCCUGAAGGCCAGAAGAGGGCGCCAAAUCUCAUUACAGGUGGUUGGGAGCAACCAUGUGGUUGCUGGGAAUUGAACUCAGGACCUCUACAAGAACAGCCAGAGAUCUUAACUGCUGAGCCAUCUCUCCAGCCCUUAUCUAGCUUUCUUAUACAGCCCAAGAUCACCUGCCUAAGAAAUGGUGCUAACCACAGUACGCUGGAUCCUCCAGAAUCAAUCAGCAAUCAAGUCAACCCCUGAGAGACAUGCUUAUAAGUCAAUCUGACCCAGUUAAGUCCUCAAUGAGAUUCUCCUUUCAGAUGACUUUAGGCUUUGUCAAGUUAAAGUUCAAGCUAACCAGGACUAGGGCCAUCUUCCACUUUCAGGAUGUGUGCCUUUUUGGUGAAGUGUAUUUUUCAUAGCCACUCACUACCUUUCAUAUAUGUUGUGAGAUAUUUGUACACUGUGUGAAGACAUAUUGCUGUGAUUGGUUUAAUAAAGAAUUGAAUGGCCAAUACCUAGGCAGGCGAUGAAUCUAGGUGCUCAAGAGACCACCAGGAGACACAGAAGCAGGAUGGGCGGUGUGUGACAGAAUGCUGAUUAACAGAAAUGGGUUAAGUUAUAAGGGCUAGUUAGGAACAAGCCUAGGCUAUAAGUCGAGAUCUCAUGAUUAAAGAAGUCUCCAUGUCAUUAUUUGAGAACUGGCUGGUGGGACAGAAAAAGACUCCUUACACAUGUAAAUACUUAUUAUUCUGUUACUCAUGUACACCUUACCAAAAUGGCGGGAACAGGUACUGUCCAUUUCCUACUACUGGUCUCACCAGACCUUUUAGUGAAUGUUCCUGAGAUCUCAUUACCUAAAGCAAACUAAACAAGAAAGAACUAACAACCUUUCCAAACUGACUUGUCUCUUUCCUUUCUUUUUUUUAAAAGAUUAUUUAUUUAUUUAUUUAUUUAUUUAUUUAUUUAUUUAUUUAUUUAUUUAUUUAUUUAGUAUGCAGUGUUCUGCCUGCACGCCAGAAGAGGGCACCAGAUCCCAUUAUAGAUGAUUGUGAGCUACCAUGUGGUUGCUGGAAAUUGAACUCAGGACCUCUGGAAGAGCAGCUAGUGUUCUUAACCUCUGAGCCAUCUCUCCAGCCAGACAUGUCUGUUUCCAACACAUUAUGGAAGGCUUAACAAAGUCUGCAUGAAGGAAAUGAUCUACCAGAGGUUCAAAGCACAGACCGACAGAUGUGCUCUAUCCUUAUCCCUCCUCUCUACACCCUUACUUUGCACCUUUUCUUGCCUAAUAAAAGGAAAAGCAAACGACAAGCCACAUGCUGAAGGCACUAACUAUGAGGUUUA